Molecule: long non-coding RNA, 322 nt
Organism: Penaeus monodon (black tiger shrimp)
Lineage: Eukaryota; Metazoa; Arthropoda; Malacostraca; Decapoda; Penaeidae
Exons: 3
Source: RefSeq, a predicted model, not a curated record
CCCCAUUGUUUGUUUACAUUUGCUCCCCUCGAGUAUCUGUGAAUUUCCUCAAACAUCGUCAAGCUGUGCAGCCUGGCAGAUUGAUACAAGUUGUAAAAUUCUUGAUUCUCAUUUGAUAAUGGCAAGUGAUAGCGACAGUUCAAGUGAAAAUCUUCUAUCUCAAGCUCUGCCUGUUGCUGCCAUACCUAAGAACUUUGACCCAAGUGUACCCCCAUUGUCUGCUGAACAGUAUCUCCAGCAUGUAGUCUGGGAAGCACGGCAGUGUCAGGAUGUUGUGACAGUUGAAGUAGAUAAAAAGAAAAUACGGAAACAGGGGCCUCUU